Molecule: ribosomal RNA, 2654 nt
Filed under: Escherichia coli
Lineage: Bacteria; Pseudomonadati; Pseudomonadota; Gammaproteobacteria; Enterobacterales; Enterobacteriaceae
Description: bacterial LSU rRNA
Rfam family: Bacterial large subunit ribosomal RNA
Source: RNAcentral
ACUAUCAUUAACUGAAUCCAUAGGUUAAUGAGGCGAACCGGGGGAACUGAAACAUCUAAGUACCCCGAGGAAAAGAAAUCAACCGAGAUUCCCCCAGUAGCGGCGAGCGAACGGGGAGCAGCCCAGAGCCUGAAUCAGUGUGUGUGUUAGUGGAAGCGUCUGGAAAGGCGCGCGAUACAGGGUGACAGCCCCGUACACAAAAAUGCACAUGCUGUGAGCUCGAUGAGUAGGGCGGGACACGUGGUAUCCUGUCUGAAUAUGGGGGGACCAUCCUCCAAGGCUAAAUACUCCUGACUGACCGAUAGUGAACCAGUACCGUGAGGGAAAGGCGAAAAGAACCCCGGCGAGGGGAGUGAAAAAGAACCUGAAACCGUGUACGUACAAGCAGUGGGAGCCUCUUUAUGGGGUGACUGCGUACCUUUUGUAUAAUGGGUCAGCGACUUAUAUUCUGUAGCAAGGUUAACCGAAUAGGGGAGCCGAAGGGAAACCGAGUCUUAACUGGGCGUUAAGUUGCAGGGUAUAGACCCGAAACCCGGUGAUCUAGCCAUGGGCAGGUUGAAGGUUGGGUAACACUAACUGGAGGACCGAACCGACUAAUGUUGAAAAAUUAGCGGAUGACUUGUGGCUGGGGGUGAAAGGCCAAUCAAACCGGGAGAUAGCUGGUUCUCCCCGAAAGCUAUUUAGGUAGCGCCUCGUGAAUUCAUCUCCGGGGGUAGAGCACUGUUUCGGCAAGGGGGUCAUCCCGACUUACCAACCCGAUGCAAACUGCGAAUACCGGAGAAUGUUAUCACGGGAGACACACGGCGGGUGCUAACGUCCGUCGUGAAGAGGGAAACAACCCAGACCGCCAGCUAAGGUCCCAAAGUCAUGGUUAAGUGGGAAACGAUGUGGGAAGGCCCAGACAGCCAGGAUGUUGGCUUAGAAGCAGCCAUCAUUUAAAGAAAGCGUAAUAGCUCACUGGUCGAGUCGGCCUGCGCGGAAGAUGUAACGGGGCUAAACCAUGCACCGAAGCUGCGGCAGCGACGCUUAUGCGUUGUUGGGUAGGGGAGCGUUCUGUAAGCCUGUGAAGGUGUGCUGUGAGGCAUGCUGGAGGUAUCAGAAGUGCGAAUGCUGACAUAAGUAACGAUAAAGCGGGUGAAAAGCCCGCUCGCCGGAAGACCAAGGGUUCCUGUCCAACGUUAAUCGGGGCAGGGUGAGUCGACCCCUAAGGCGAGGCCGAAAGGCGUAGUCGAUGGGAAACAGGUUAAUAUUCCUGUACUUGGUGUUACUGCGAAGGGGGGACGGAGAAGGCUAUGUUGGCCGGGCGACGGUUGUCCCGGUUUAAGCGUGUAGGCUGGUUUUCCAGGCAAAUCCGGAAAAUCAAGGCUGAGGCGUGAUGACGAGGCACUACGGUGCUGAAGCAACAAAUGCCCUGCUUCCAGGAAAAGCCUCUAAGCAUCAGGUAACAUCAAAUCGUACCCCAAACCGACACAGGUGGUCAGGUAGAGAAUACCAAGGCGCUUGAGAGAACUCGGGUGAAGGAACUAGGCAAAAUGGUGCCGUAACUUCGGGAGAAGGCACGCUGAUAUGUAGGUGAAGCGACUUGCUCGUGGAGCUGAAAUCAGUCGAAGAUACCAGCUGGCUGCAACUGUUUAUUAAAAACACAGCACUGUGCAAACACGAAAGUGGACGUAUACGGUGUGACGCCUGCCCGGUGCCGGAAGGUUAAUUGAUGGGGUUAGCGCAAGCGAAGCUCUUGAUCGAAGCCCCGGUAAACGGCGGCCGUAACUAUAACGGUCCUAAGGUAGCGAAAUUCCUUGUCGGGUAAGUUCCGACCUGCACGAAUGGCGUAAUGAUGGCCAGGCUGUCUCCACCCGAGACUCAGUGAAAUUGAACUCGCUGUGAAGAUGCAGUGUACCCGCGGCAAGACGGAAAGACCCCGUGAACCUUUACUAUAGCUUGACACUGAACAUUGAGCCUUGAUGUGUAGGAUAGGUGGGAGGCUUUGAAGUGUGGACGCCAGUCUGCAUGGAGCCGACCUUGAAAUACCACCCUUUAAUGUUUGAUGUUCUAACGUUGACCCGUAAUCCGGGUUGCGGACAGUGUCUGGUGGGUAGUUUGACUGGGGCGGUCUCCUCCUAAAGAGUAACGGAGGAGCACGAAGGUUGGCUAAUCCUGGUCGGACAUCAGGAGGUUAGUGCAAUGGCAUAAGCCAGCUUGACUGCGAGCGUGACGGCGCGAGCAGGUGCGAAAGCAGGUCAUAGUGAUCCGGUGGUUCUGAAUGGAAGGGCCAUCGCUCAACGGAUAAAAGGUACUCCGGGGAUAACAGGCUGAUACCGCCCAAGAGUUCAUAUCGACGGCGGUGUUUGGCACCUCGAUGUCGGCUCAUCACAUCCUGGGGCUGAAGUAGGUCCCAAGGGUAUGGCUGUUCGCCAUUUAAAGUGGUACGCGAGCUGGGUUUAGAACGUCGUGAGACAGUUCGGUCCCUAUCUGCCGUGGGCGCUGGAGAACUGAGGGGGGCUGCUCCUAGUACGAGAGGACCGGAGUGGACGCAUCACUGGUGUUCGGGUUGUCAUGCCAAUGGCACUGCCCGGUAGCUAAAUGCGGAAGAGAUAAGUGCUGAAAGCAUCUAAGCACGAAACUUGCCCCGAGAUGAGUUCUCCCUGACUCCUUGA